RNAcentral lists this long non-coding RNA (5664 nucleotides) under Triticum aestivum (bread wheat). RNAcentral describes it as "long non-coding RNA (TAES_LNC019905)". Lineage: Eukaryota; Viridiplantae; Streptophyta; Magnoliopsida; Poales; Poaceae. The record is from RNAcentral.
CUUUCAUCAGUUUGUCCCCCGUUUCUUCUCUAGCCUGAGCCUGACACACUAUUCUAGCUAGACAUGGGUGUGGCUCGUAACACCUAAUGACCAAACGGAUCUACGGCACCGUUGAAUCUCAAACUUUAACUGCCAAAACUAUUGUUUUUCAUUAUGUAGUCCCUUUUAAAUUACUAAACGUCAUUUUUUGGGCUGAGAUAUCCAGGAAAGCUUUCUCGGGGUUUGUGUGCACGUAUUUCAAAUCAUACGGACCUAAAAAUUAGAAGUCAUUCCAUAUUUAUUCCCCUAGAGCCUUCCAGAAAUUCCUAAACCGCUCCAGUUGGACCACGUUAUCAUUCUUGUUAGUUCUGAGUGAAUUACCUCAGUAUGAUCAUUCUUUCAUCAGUUUGUUCCCCGUUUCUUCUAUAGUCUGAGCCUAGCACACUACUCUAGCUAGACAUGGGUGUGGCUCGUAACACCUGAUGACCAAACAGAUCUACGACACCGUCAAAUCUCAAACUUUAACUGCCAAAACUAUUGUUUUUCAUCCUGUAGUCCCUUUUAGAAUUACUAAACGUCCUUUUUUGGGCUGAGAUUUCCAGGAACGCUUUCGCGGGGUUUGUGUGCACGUAUUUUAAACCAUACGGACCUAAAAAUUAGAAGUCAUUCCAUCUUUAUUCCCCUAGAGCCUAACACACUAUUAUAGCUAGACAUGGGUGUGGCUCGUAACACCUGAUGACCAAACGGAUCUACGGCACCAUCGAAUCUCAAACUUUAACUGCCAAAACUAUUGUAUUUCAUCAUGUAGUCCCUUUUAGAAUUAUUAAACGUCCUUUUUUUGGGCCGUGAUUUCCAUGAACGCUUUCUCGGGGUUUCUGUGCACGUAUUUCAAAUCAUACAGACCUAAAAAUUAGAAGGCAUUUCAUCUUUAUUCCCCUAGAGCCUUCCAGCAGUUCCUAAACCGCUCCAGUCGGACCAUGUUAUCAUUCUUGUUAGUUCUGAGUGAAUUCCCUCGAUAUGAUCAUUCUUUCAUCAGUUUGUUCCCCGUUUCUUCUCUAGUCUGAGCCUAGCUCACUAUUCUAGCUAGAUAUGGGUGUGGCUCAUAAUACCCGAUGACCAAACGGAUCUACGGCACCAUCGAAUCUCAAACUUUAGCUGCCAAAACUAUUGUUUUUCAUCCUGUAGUCCCUUUUAGAAUUACUAAACGUCCUUUUUUGGGCCGGGAUUUCCAGGAGCGCUUUCUCGGGGUUUGUGUGCACGUAUUUCAAACCAAGCGUUCCUAAAAAUUAGAAGUCAUUUGAUCUUUAUUCCCCUAGAGCCUUCCAGCAGUUCCUAAACCGCUCCAGUCGGCGCACGUUAUCAUUCUUGUUAGUUCUGAGCGAAUUCCCUCGGUAUGAUCAUUCUUUCAUCAGUUUGUUCCUCGUUUCUUCUCUAGUCUGAGCCUAGCACACUAUUCUAGCUAGACAUGGGUGUGGGUCAUAACACCUGAUGACCAAACCGAUCUACGGCACCAUCGAAUCUCAAACUUUAACUACCAAAACUAUUGUUUUUCAUCCUGUAGUCCCUUUUAGAAUUACCAAACGUCCUUUUUUGGGCCGAGAAUUCCAAGAAUGCUUUCUCGGGGUUUGUGUGCACAUAUUUCAAACCAAACAUUCCUAAAAAUUAGAAAUCAUUCCAUCUUUAUUCCCCAAGAGCCUUCCAGCAGUUCCUAAACAGCUCCACUCAGAGCACGUUGUCAUUCUUGUUAGUUCUGAGCGAAUUCCCUCGGUAUGAUCAUUCUUUCAUCAGUUUGUUCCCUGUUUCUUCUCUAGUCUGAGCCUCGCACACUAUUCUAGCUAUUAAUGGGUGUGGAUCGUAACUCCUGAUGACCAAACGGAUCUACGGCACCGUCGAAUCUCAAACUUUAACUGCCAAAACUACUGUUUUUCAUUCUGUAGUCCCUCUUAAAUUACUAAACGUCAUUUUUUGGGCUGAGAUAUCCAGGAACGCUUUCUCGGGGUUUGUGUGCACGUAUUUCAAAUCAUACGGACCUAAAAAUUAGAAGUCAUUCCAUCUUUAUUCCCCUAGAGCCUUCCAGCAGUUCCUAAACCACUCCAGUCGGAGCACGUUAUCAUUAUUGUUAGUUCCGAGUGAAUUCCCUUGGCAUGAUCUUUCUUUCAUCAGUUUGUUCCCCGUUUCUUCUCUAGUGUUAGCCUAUCACACUAUUCUAGCUAGACAUGGGUGUGGCUCGUAACACCUGAUGACCAAACGGAUCUACGGCACCGUCGAAUUUCAAACUUUAACUGCCAAAACUAUUGUUUUUCCUCCUGUAGUCCCUUUUAGAAUUACUAAAUGUCCUUUUUUGGGCCGAGAUUUCCAGGAAUGCUUUCUCGGGGUUUGUGUGCAUGUAUUUCAAACCAUACGGACCUAAAAAUUAGGUCAUUCCAUAUUUAUUCCCCUAGAGCCUUCCAGCAGUUCCUAAACAUCUCCAGUCGGAGCACGUUAUCAUUCUUGUUUGUUCUGAGCGAAUUCCCUCAGUAUGAUCAUUCUUUCAUCAUUUUGUGCCCUGUUUCUUCUCUAGUCUGAGCAUAGCACACUAUUCUAGCUAGACAUGGGUGUGGCUCGUAACACCUGAUGACCAAACGGAUGUACGACACCGUCGAAUCUCAAACUUUAACUGCCAAAACUAUUGUUUUUCAUCCUGUAGUCCCUUUUAAAUUUACUAAAUGUCCUUUUUGGGCUGAGAUUUCCAGGAACGCUUUCGUGCGGUUUGUGUGCAAGUAUUUCUAAUCAUACGGACCUAUAAAUUAGAAGUCAUUCCAUCUUUAUUCCCCUAGAGCCUUCGAGCAGUUCCUAAACCGCGCCAGCCGGAGCAUGUUAUCAUUCUUGUUAGUUCUGAGUGAAUUCCCUCGGUAUGAUCAUUCUUUCAUCAGUUUGUUCCCCGUUUCUUCUCUAGUCUGAGCCUAGCACACUACUCUAGCUAGACAUGGGUUUGGCUCGUAACACCUGAUAACCAAACAGGUCUACGACUCCAUCGAAUCUCAAACUUUUUUGGGCCGAGAUUUCCAGGAACGCUUUCUCGGGGUUUGUGUGCACGUAUUUCAAAUCAUGCGGACCUAAAAAUUAGAAGUCAUUCCAUAUUUAUUACCCUAGAGCCUUCCAGCAGUUCCUAAACCGCUCCAGUCGGAGCAUGUUAUCAUUCUCUUUAGUUCUCAGGGAAUUCCCUCGGUAUGAUCAUUCUUUCAUCAGUUUAUUCCCUGUUUUUUCUCUAGCAUGAGCCUAACACACUAUUCUAGCUACACAUGGGUGUGGCUCGUAACACCUGAUGACCAAACGGAUCUACGGCACCGUCGAAUCUCAAACUUUAACUGCCAAAACUAUUGUUUUCGUCCUGUAGUCCCUUUUAGAAUUACUAAACGUCCUUUUUUGGGCCGAGAUUUCCAGGAACGCUUUCUCGGGGUUUGUGUGCACGUAUUUCAAAUCAUACGGACCUAAAAAUUAGAAGUCAUUCCAUCUUUAUUCCCCUAGAGCCUUCCAGCAGUUCCUAAACAGCUCUAGUCGGAGCAAGUUAUCAUUCUUGUUAGUUCUGAGCGAAUUCCCUCGGUAUGAUCAUUCUUUCAUUAGUUUGUUCUGCGUUUCUUCUCUAGUCUGAGCCUAGCACACUAUUCUAGCUAUUAAUGGGUGUGGAUCGUAACACCUAAUGACCAACGGAUCUACGGCACCAUCGAAUCUCAAACUUUAACUGCCAAAACUAUUAUUUUUCAUCCUGUAGUCCCUUUAAAAAUUAUUAAAUGUCAUUUUUUGGGCCGAGAUUUCCAGGAACGCUUUCUCGGGGUUUGUGUGCAUGUAUUUCAAGUCAUACGGACCUAAAAAUUAGAAUCCAUUCCAUCUUUAUUCCCCUAGAGCCUUGCAGCAGUUCCUAAACCGCUCCAGUCGGAGCACGUUAUCAUUAUUGUUAGUUCUGAGUGAAUUCCCUCGGUAUGAUUAUUCUUUCAUCAGUUUGUUCCCCAUUUCUUCUCUAGUCUGAGCCUAACACACUAUUCUAGCUAGACAUGGGUGUGGCUCGUAAUACCUGAUGACCAAACGGAUCUACAGCACCGUCGAAUCUCAAACUUUAACUACGAAAACUAUUGUUUUUCAUUCUAUAGUCCCUUUCAGAAUUACUAAACGUCCUUUUUUGGGCCGAGAUUUCCAGGAACGCUUUCUCGGGGUUUGAGUGCGCGUAUCUAACAAUACAGACCUAAAGAUUAGAAUUCAUUCCAUCUUUAUUCCCCUAGAGCCUUCCAGCAGUUCCUAAACUGCUCCAGUCGGAGCACGUUAUCAUUCUUGUUAGUUCUCAGGGAAUUCCCUCGGUAUGAUCAUUCUUUCAUCAGUUUGUUCCCCGUUUCUUCUCUAGCAUGAGCCAAACACACUAUUCUAGCUACACAUGGGUGUGCCUCGUAACACCUGAUGACCAAACGGAUCUACGGCACCGUCGAAUCUCAAACUUUAACUGCCAAAAUUAUUGUUUUUCAUCUUGUAGUCCCUUGUAGAAUUACUAAACGUCCUUUUUUGGGCCGAGAUUUCGAGAAACACUUUGUCAGGGUUUGUUUGCACGUAUUUCAAACCAUACGGACCUAAAAAUUAGAAGUCAUUCCAUCUUUGUUCCCCUAGAGCCUUCCAGCAGUUCCUAAACCGCUCCAGUCGGAGCAUGUUAUCAUUCUUGUUAGUUCUGAGCAAAUUCCCUCGGUAAGAUCAUUCUUUCAUCAGUUUGUUCCCUGUUUCUUCUCUAGCCUGAGCCUGACACACUAUUCUAGCUAGACAUGGGCGUGGCUCGUGACACCUGAUGACCAAACGGAUCUACGGCACCGUCGAAUCUCAAACUUUAACUACCAAAACUAUUGUUUUUCAUUCUGUAGUCCCUUUUAAAUUACUAAACGUCAUUUUUUCGGCCGAGAUUUCCAGGAACGCUUUCUUGUGGUUUGUGUGCAUGUAUUUCAAAUCAUACGGACCUAAAAAUUGGAAUCCAUUCCAUCUUUAUUCCCCUAGAGCCUUCCAGCAGUUCCUAAUCCGCUCCAGUCGGAGCACGUUAUCAUUGUUGUUAGUUCUGAGUGAAUUCCCUCGGUAUGAUCAUUCUUUCAUCAGUUUGUUCCCUGUUUCUUCUCUAGUCUGAGCCUAACACACUAUUCUAGCUAGACAUGGGUGUGGCUCGUAACACCCGAUGACCAAACGGAUCUACGGCACCGUCGAAUCUCAAACUUUAACUGCGAAAACUAUUGUUUUUCAUCCUGUAGUCCUUUUUAGAAUUACUAAACGUCCUUUUUUGGGACGAGAUUUCCAGGAACGCUUUCUCGGGGUUUGUGUGCGCGUAUUUCAAACCAUACGAACCUUAAAAUUAGAAUUCAUUCCAUCUUUAUUCCCCUAGAGCCUUCCAGCAGUUCCUAAACCGCUCCAGUCGGAGCACGUUAUCAUUCUUGUUAGUUCUGAGCAAAUUCCCUCGGUAUGAUCAUUCUUUCAUCAGUUUGUUCCCCGUUUCUUCUCUAGUCUGAGCCUAGCACACUAUUCUAGCUAUUAGUGGGUGUGGAUCGUAACACCUAAUGACCAAACGGAUCUAUGGCACCAUCGAAUCUCAAACUUUAACUGCCAAAACUAUUGUUUUUCAUCCUGUAGUCCCUUUUACAAUUAUUAAACGUCCUUUUUUGGGCCGAGAUUUCCAGGAACGCUUUC